ACCUUAGAGACCAACUAAGUUUGUUCUUGGUAUAAGCUUUUGUGUGCAUGAAGUAUGCAUGCACAUGAAAGCUUAUACCAAGAACAAACUUAGUUGGUCUCUAAGGU
Non-coding RNA from Podarcis lilfordi (Lilford's wall lizard), 107 nucleotides. The record is from the annotation of a GenBank genome assembly. Lineage: Eukaryota; Metazoa; Chordata; Lepidosauria; Squamata; Lacertidae.